RNAcentral lists this transfer RNA (72 nucleotides) under Marmota monax (woodchuck). It matches the Rfam family "tRNA". Rfam says of the family: Transfer RNA (tRNA) molecules are approximately 80 nucleotides in length. Their secondary structure includes four short double-helical elements and three loops (D, anti-codon, and T loops). RNAcentral also lists the same sequence under 3 other names. The record is from Rfam by way of RNAcentral. Lineage: Eukaryota; Metazoa; Chordata; Mammalia; Rodentia; Sciuridae.
GGGGCUGUAGCUCAGUGGCAGAGCGCUUGCCUAGUAUGUGUGAGGCACUGGGUUCGAUCCUCAGCAGCACAU